Molecule: small RNA, 3742 nt
Filed under: Arabidopsis thaliana (thale cress)
Lineage: Eukaryota; Viridiplantae; Streptophyta; Magnoliopsida; Brassicales; Brassicaceae
Description: ATSL160830
Source: RNAcentral
UGCACCUUUUGCACGGAUAAUCUUGUUUUUCUAGGUUUUGUUGUAAGUGCAGAUGGGGUUAAAGUAGACGAGGAGAAAGUGAAGGUAAUCAAGGAGUGGCCUUGUAACGCCCGUGAACCGGAAAAUCGGUUAGGGUUUGUUUUUAAAUCAUCCGGUUUAAUUGGUUGGGUUAAUUGGAAACCCUAGACUGUGCCUAUAAAAGAAGGAAACUCGAAAUUAGGGCUUUGGUUAGCCACUUUUCGUUUUAUAAAGGAGAAAAAGAGAGAAAAGGAGAAGGAGCAAAAUCGUUAGGGUUUGGGAGAAAUCGGUUUCGUCAUAUCAAAUCGUGGUAAACGGUAACGAAAUUUGGUAGAGUUAUUCCCAAGUCCUUUAUAGUUAUUCUCCAGUUUACAGAAUUGUAUUUGGAUUAAAAUUGGUUGAGUUAUUCGCAGUUUCGUGAGACACGUUUUCUCAGACGCGAAUUGGGACCAGCGGAGAUUGAAACUGAGAUCGUGGUCUCGUCUGUUUUCCGAUCGGCACGAGAUUUUGUGGGCAGCUUUUUGACGUCUGCAGCUAGGAUUUCACCGGAGCGAGUGAAUAGUUAACGGUUAGUUUGUGUUUUAGGGUUUCGUCUUUGAGACUGCUUGUUUCUGGUUUUUCCUGUCCAGUUUGCUUCAAGGUUGCUUUUGGUUGUGGACUUGUUGUAGGACGUUUCUGGACUGUUUCAGACGCAAGGAGAGACUCUCCUGGGUUUAAUUGCUAUUAGAAUCAAUUUGUUAAGGUGAGUGCGUGACCAUGAGCUUAUCUGGGCGAUUGGGUUGUGUGAUUUGUUUUGUGUGAUGAUAUGUAGGUGUGGUGAAUGUGUUUUGGGUGAAUUGUUCAAUGACUGGUUUGUUUGUAUUGUAUUCGUGAUUAUACCUUUUUAUUUGCUUGUGUGUAUAGCUCGUAGAUGGGAGGAUCGCCUCACUAAGUAUUUAUGAUAAUACUUACGUAUCUCAUUGUGUUGUUGAUGCAGGUAAAGAUAAAGUCUGAUCGUGGAAUCAUGGCAAGGAAGAGAGGAUGAUCUAGGAACUCGUUUGUUUUAUUUUUGGUGUUUUUGGUUAUUAAAACCCGGUUAGGAUUGUUAGUUAUUCUUGGUUUUGUUGGUCGAAUUAUUUAUUUAUUCAUAAAAUAGUAUUUUUGACUUGCGGUUUAAUUGUUAUUUUAUUGGUUGAUUUAAUUAGAUAUUUAUAGGAAUAUUUAAUUAUAUUUUUUUUUAAAAAAAUGGGUCGGGUUGUUUCAGGCCUAGCCCUAAAACCGUUGGAGAAGUUCUGAGCUUUCAUGGCCUUGCCGGUUUCUAUAGACGCUUUGUCAAGGAUUUUAGCACCUUAGCUGCACCCCUCACCGAAGUAAUCAAGAAAGAUGUUGGAUUCAAAUGGGAAGAAGCUCAAGAGAAAGCUUUUCAAGCACUUAAACAGAAGCUUACUAAUGCCCAUAUUUUGAUCUUACCUGAUUUUCUUAAAACCUUUGAAAUCGAAUGUGAUGCCUCCGGCAUAGGUAUUGGAGCUGUUUUGAUGCAGGAUAAGAAGCCCAUAGCCUACUUUAGUGAGAAGCUCGGUGGUGCCACAUUAAACUAUCGGAUUUAUGACAAAGAACUUUACGCUUUGGUCCGCGCCUUACAAACGUGGCAUCACUCCUUAUGGCCGAAGGAGUUUGUCACAUGUAAAAAGGCUAAGUCCAAAGUCCAACCGAACGAUGGGAAAAAGAAAGCAGAAAUGGUGCAGCAAAUCCAUGAGGAAGCUAGGAAAAAUAUUGAGGAGAAAACAAAGAAGUAUGUGGAACAAGCGAACAAGGGCCGGCGACGCAUGGUCUUUGAAGAAGGUGACUAAGUGUGGAUUCACUUAAGGAAGGAAUGAUUCCCAGCCGAAAGACGUAGCAAACUGAUGCCAAGAAUAAACGGGCCGUUCACCAUUACAAAAAGGAUCAAUGAUAACUCUUAUCAAAUUGAUUUUUGAGGUAAGCAUAAUAUAAGUUCGAGCUUUAAUGUUUCUGAUUUAUCUCCUUUUCUUGUAGAUGAAACGGAUUUGAGGGCAAAUCCUUUUCAAGAGGGAGGGCAUGAUAUGACUAUUGCCGGACAAGACUUGGAACUUGAACCAAUGGAGCAGCUUGUAGCCGAGGAGCAGCUUGUAACGGAGGAAGCUUUGGCGGAACCAACCGGCCCUAUGACUCGUUCGAAGACUAGACAUCUCAACCAAGCCGUUACCGGACUUCUUAACCACUUGGGCAAGCAUCCAAAUGAAGUCAUACUAACCGUUUGGAACUCGAAAGCAGCCCAAGACGAUUGGUAAUAGGCUAAGUGUUACUUGGGUACUCUUUUUCCCUUCUAAGGUUUUGUCCCAAUGGGUUUUCCUUAGUAGGUUUUUAAUGAGGCUUGAGUAACACUUCCAAAUCCCCCAUUAUCAAUCCGGCCUAAGCCCACUAAGAUGACCACGAAUUUGGAAGGCCAUGGGUCUAUUUUUGUUCAGAUUUUCAUUUAUGAUUUCUCCUUUUCCGAGUGGCCUUGGAGCUUAUUCCAAGACUAACUCUUCCUUUUCUCUUCUUCUCUAUUUAAACUCUUGUAUUUCCUCAUUGUAAACUCAUCUAUCCUUUCAAUCUCAAACUCUUUUAAGCUAGAUCAAAGGUAAAUCAAAGGCCAUCUGCAUCAUUUGUGUGACCAUUCGCUCCACAUCCUUUGGUUUGAGUGAUCUCAUGAUCUCUUAGAUGCAAAGUCUAUCCCCUACUCAACCUCAAGAGUGUCGAUCUUAGGGAAGUCAUAUUAGGCGCGAAGUAGGAAUCGCUCGCAAAUCGCAGGACGCCACCUGUCAAAGGUUGGCAGGAUUGUGUCUUUCCGAGUCUUGAAGCAUCGGAAGACGUUUCCCUCUGUUUCCAUCGCUGUCAAAGUAAUAAAGAGAUUCGAACCCAUGUAUGGGAAGUUAGGCCGAUGAAUCAAACAAUAUAGCAAGUAAAGAGAUUAAAUGGUAAUUUCUAACCUGUGAGUGAUUUGGUUUGAGGAACCAGAACGGCCUUAGCUUAGGGUUGGCAUCUCGGGGCUCACACUCUUCUUGUGAGGAUUUGCACUCCGACCGGUCUUUCACCCCAAGAUCUAGAAGAAGGAGAUGCGAUGACUGGAGGAGGGGGACCCAUUGAUCGGGGUAGGGGAGAUGAUCGAGGAGAACGAUCAGUUCGGGCUAUAGUCUUAUCUCUCUUAGGAAAGGAACUGCUGCGAGUUGGUCUUUCUCUCUUUUUCUGAAGCAAGUCUGCUAUCAGUUCGCUGCUUAACCUAGUCCGAGAAGCAGUCUGAGGUGAGUCACGACGUGGUGAUUGGUCUCUACGAGGUGACCGGCCGCCAUGACCUUUACGGUGAGGUGUAGGUCUGAAGGCACCGGCAGAUCUCGCCCCUUCGUCGCUACCAUCGUCGACCAGCAGAGUUCUACUGUAUUCUUUCUUGUCGACAGCAGACUGAAGGAAUGACUUGUUCGCCUCACAAGCCUUUGUCAUUGGCUUGGAUAACGUCUUUCAACGGGAAGCGAUAGCCCUAGCAGAAGUUCCGUGAGGUAGAGGUGGAGGUGGUGGAAGUUGGGUAGUUGUCCGGGUGGACUCAUUCUGAGCUUAUGAUUGGCCUCAAUGAACCGAUCGAGAGUGAAAGAGUUCCAGAGGGUCUCUCCCUCGAUAACAAUCUUGAUGAAUUCAACAAAUUCUAUAGUUGGGAGAGUUGGAGCAAUGAAAGCUCCGAAAUGAAAAUCAU